CCUCUACGAAUAUUUACAGAGCCGAUCUGAAUAGAUCCUCUUGACCCUUGCUUUUUUGAACCAAAAGUCUGAAUAGACUUGAACCAAGCCUGGAGAGGCUUUUAAUUUUGAACUCUUUUGAUCUUUCUUUCUUGAUUCUUGAAGAAACCAAGAAUUUUUCUUGAUUCCUCAACUAAUCAGGAAGAACAACAACCAAGAAGUAGUUGUAACU
This 211-nucleotide long non-coding RNA is filed under the name Elaeis guineensis (African oil palm). Its description in RNAcentral is "long non-coding RNA (EGUI_LNC071992)". Lineage: Eukaryota; Viridiplantae; Streptophyta; Magnoliopsida; Arecales; Arecaceae. The record is from RNAcentral.